Long non-coding RNA from Microtus oregoni (creeping vole), 414 nucleotides. RefSeq lists it as uncharacterized. The record is from RefSeq and is a predicted model, not a curated record. The transcript has 3 exons. NCBI's taxonomy places the organism in Eukaryota, Metazoa, Chordata, Mammalia, Rodentia, Cricetidae.
GAGCGGCUGAGUUUUCUGCUGAGAGUGUGUGGGGGUGUGGGGGGCCUGGCCAGGGUCCUUGGGGACACAGAGGCCGCGCCCCAGCUCCUACUGCCUGCAUUGGAGAACACCCGGAAGUCUUGGCUGCUGGCCACCAUUCUGUGAUGAAAUGGAGUUGGAAGAAUGCUCAGCUUGCUGUUACAGCUGUUGCUUCAGAGACAGGGUCCUUGCAAGUGUUUCAAAACUAACCCUUCUCUUGGGAGUUUCUUCCAAUUGACCGACUGGAGCAGCAGUUAAGGCUCAGGAAGAAGGGACUCAAGAUGACUCAGCAGAGGUGGGAAGAGAUGCAUCACCCCCCAGGGCUCAAGACAUUCUUCCUACAGAGCCUUCAAAACCACCAGGCAAAGUUUCAGGAGAAGUUGAGUGAGAUACUGC